This 460-nucleotide ribosomal RNA is filed under the name uncultured bacterium. RNAcentral describes it as "partial 16S ribosomal RNA". It matches the Rfam family "Bacterial small subunit ribosomal RNA", at positions 338 to 795 of the family's 1533-position model. The record is from RNAcentral.
CCUACGGGUGGCAGCAGUGAGGAAUAUUGGUCAAUGGGCGUAAGCCUGAACCAGCCAAGUCGCGUGAGGGAUGAAGGUUCUAUGGAUCGUAAACCUCUUUUAUAAGGGAAUAACUUUCUUUCCUUGUCCCGUUUUGUCUGUCCCUUCUGCCUCCGGCUCGGCUCCCUCCGUGCCCGCCGCCGCGGUCCUCCGGAGGAUCCGCGCGUUAUCCGGAUUUAUUGUUUUGAACGGUUUCUUCUGCGGCCUUUUAAGUCAGCGGUGAACGUCUGUGGCUCAACCAUAGAAUUGCCGUUGAAACUGGGAGGCUUGAGUAUGUUUGAGGCAGGCGGAAUGCGUGGUGUAGCGGUGAAAUGCUUAGAUAUCACGCAGAACCCCGAGGGCGAAGGCAGCCUGCCAAGCCAUGACUGACGCGGAUGCACGAAAGCGUGGGGAUCAAACAGGAUGAGAUACCCCUGUAGUC